This is a long non-coding RNA of Populus euphratica (Euphrates poplar), 395 nucleotides long. RefSeq lists it as uncharacterized. The transcript is spliced from 3 exons. The record is from RefSeq and is a predicted model, not a curated record. Lineage: Eukaryota; Viridiplantae; Streptophyta; Magnoliopsida; Malpighiales; Salicaceae.
UCCCUUUGUUCAGUGGAAUUCUCGGUACCUGGUAGAGCAAGCACAGUUUAUGCAAUGUUUGAACAGAAAAUGCACUACACUAGACUUAAUUAGCCAUUUAUUAGCAUGUCCAAAAACCAGUGGACUCCAGAUUUCGCUGUCAGAAAGAAAUGCAGAGUGGAUGGGUUGGGCACAUAACACACUAAAUGGGAUAGGUCUAGCUAAGAAAGGAACGUGGUCUGUUUUUCAGACAGCUGGGAGCCAGCGUUUUCUGGAAUCAAAAUCAGUUUUUUGAUACUUGAAAAUUCGGAUCAAACUGAACAAUCUUUCGUGCAUAGUUUGCUGAAUGGCUGACCUCAGAGAACCAGUGGAGACUAUAAGAAGAAUGAACAAAGUGAGGGGAACGAGCUGGAAAA